CCGUGAAAAAAUUAGAGUGUUCAAAGCAGGCAGAUCCAAUUUUCUGCCACCGAAUACAUUAGCAUGGGAUAAUGGAAUAGGACCCUGUCCUCCUAUUUUCAGUUGGUUUUGGCAGCGCGAGGACUAGGGUAAUGAUUAAUAGGGAUAGUUGGGGGCAUUAAUAUUUAAUUGUCAGAGGUGAAAUUCUUGGAUUUAUGAAAGAUUAACUUCUGCGAAAGCAUCUGCCAAGGAUGUUUUCAUUAAUCAAGAACGAAAGUUAGGGGAUCGAAGACGAUCAGAUACCGUCGUAGUCUUAACCAUAAACGAUGCCGACCAGCGAUUAGGAGACGUUGAAUACAAAACACCACCAUCGGUGCGGUCGUCCUUGGCGUUGGUCUUCAAAAGCCAGCGCGGGGGUGGCUU
RNAcentral lists this ribosomal RNA (402 nucleotides) under Acanthamoeba sp. Its description in RNAcentral is "SSU rRNA". It matches the Rfam family "Eukaryotic small subunit ribosomal RNA", at positions 755 to 1077 of the family's 1831-position model. The record is from RNAcentral. Lineage: Eukaryota; Discosea; Longamoebia; Acanthamoebidae.